CAGCAGCCACGGGAAUGCGAAGGGGGCUAGCGUUGCUCGGAAUUACUGGGCGUAAAGGGAGCGUAGGCGGGUCGUUUAGUCAGAGGUGAAAUCCCGGGGCUCAACCUCGGAACUGCCUUUGAUACUGGCGACCUUGAGUAUGGGAGAGGUGAGUGGAACUCCGAGUGUAGAGGUGAAAUUCGUAGAUAUUCGGAAGAACACCAGUGGCGAAAGCGACUCACUGGCCCAUUACUGACGCUGAGGCUCGAAAGCGUGGGGAGCAAACAGGAUUAGAGACCCCUGUAGUCCCUGUCCUUAUACA
This 301-nucleotide ribosomal RNA is filed under the name uncultured bacterium. RNAcentral's name for it is "partial 16S ribosomal RNA". It matches the Rfam family "Bacterial small subunit ribosomal RNA", at positions 509 to 809 of the family's 1533-position model. The record is from RNAcentral.